This 738-nucleotide ribosomal RNA is filed under the name uncultured organism. RNAcentral describes it as "bacterial SSU rRNA". It matches the Rfam family "Bacterial small subunit ribosomal RNA", at positions 93 to 850 of the family's 1533-position model. The record is from RNAcentral.
CAGCGGCGAACGGGUGAGUACACGUGGGUGACUUGCCCCGAAGAUGGGGAUAACCUCGGGAGACGGNGGCUAAUACCCAAUGUGCUCGGUGAUUCGGUUCAUCGAGUAAAGCUCCGGCGCUUCGGGAGAGGCCUGCGGCCCAUCAGCUAGUUGGUAGGGUAACGGCCUACCAAGGCAGAGACGGGUAGGGGGCGUGAGAGCGCGGACCCCCACACUGGCACUGAGAUACGGGCCAGACUCCUACGGGAGGCAGCAGUAAGGGAUAUUGCGCAAUGGACGAAAGUCAGACGCAGCGACGCCGCGUGGGCGAUGAAGGCCUUCGGGUUGUAAAGCCCUUUUAUGGGGGAAGAGAAAAAGGACGGUACCCCAGGAAUAAGUCCCGGCUAACUACGUGCCAGCAGCCGCGGUAAAACGUAGGGGACAAGCGUUAUCCGGAUUCACUGGGCGUAAAGAGCGUUGAGGCGGUUCCGUAAGUUGGGCGUGAAAGCUCCGGGCUUAACUCGGAGAUGUCGUUCAAUACUGCGGGGCUUGAGGACAGCAGAGGAAGGUGGAAUUCCCGGUGUAGUGGUGAAAUGCGUAGAUAUCGGGAGGAACACCCGUGGCGAAGGCGGACUUCUGGGCUGUUCCUGACGCUGAAGGCGAAAGCUAGGGGAGCGAACGGGAUUAGAUACCCCGGUAGUACUAGCUGUAAACGAUGGAUGCUAGGUGUGAGGGGUGUAAAUUCCCAUUUGUGCCGAA